GGCCUGCUAGCUCAGUCGGUUAGAGCGUCGUGCUAAUAACGCGAAGGUCACAGGUUCGAUCGCUGUGCAGGCCA
Non-coding RNA from Ixodes scapularis (black-legged tick), 74 nucleotides. The record is from Rfam. Lineage: Eukaryota; Metazoa; Arthropoda; Arachnida; Ixodida; Ixodidae.